UACGGAGGGGGCUAGCGUUGCUCGGAAUUACUGGGCGUAAAGGGCGCGUAGGCGGAUACUUAAGUCGGGGGUGAAAGCCCGGGGCUCAACCUCGGAAUGGCCUUCGAUACUGGGUAUCUUGAGUUCGGGAGAGGUGAGUGGAAUGCCGAGUGUAGAGGUGAAAUUCGUAGAUAUUCGGCGGAACACCAGUGGCGAAGGCGACUCACUGGCCCGAUACUGACGCUGAUGCGCGAAAGCGUGGGGAGCAAACAGG
Molecule: ribosomal RNA, 253 nt
Filed under: uncultured bacterium
Lineage: Bacteria
Description: partial 16S ribosomal RNA
Rfam family: Bacterial small subunit ribosomal RNA
Source: RNAcentral